Molecule: ribosomal RNA, 446 nt
Filed under: uncultured bacterium
Lineage: Bacteria
Description: partial 16S ribosomal RNA
Rfam family: Bacterial small subunit ribosomal RNA
Source: RNAcentral
CCUACGGGGUGCAGCAGUCGAGAAUCAUUCACAAUGGGGGAAACCCUGAUGGUGCGACGCCGCGUGGGGGAAUGAAGGUCUUCGGAUUGUAAACCCCUGUCAUGUGGGAGCAAAUUAAAAAGAUAGUACCACAAGAGGAAGAGACGGCUAACUCUGUGCCAGCAGCCGCGGUAAUACAGCGGUCUCAAGCGUUGUUCGGAAUCACUGGGCGUAAGGCGUGCGUAGGCUGUUUCGUAAGUCGUGUGUGAAAGGCGCGGGCUCAACCCGCGGACGGCACAUGAUACUGCGAGACUAGAGUAAUGGAGGGGGAACCGGAAUUCUCGGUGUAGCAGUGAAAUGCGUAGAUAUCGAGAGGAACACUCGUGGCGAAGGCGGGUUCCUGGACAUUAACUGACGCUGAGGCACGAAGGCCAGGGGAGCGAAAGGGAUUAGAUACCCUUGUAGUC